GUUGGGUUAGUGUAGUGGUCAUCACGUUCGCUUUAGACGCGAAAGGUCACCGGAUCGAAACCGGUGCUCAAUA
Cymbomonas tetramitiformis is the source of this 73-nucleotide non-coding RNA. The record is from the annotation of a GenBank genome assembly. NCBI's taxonomy places the organism in Eukaryota, Viridiplantae, Chlorophyta, Pyramimonadophyceae, Pyramimonadales, Pyramimonadaceae.